AAUAGGUUUUAUUUUUGCUUAUGUUUCGUUUGAGUGGUUAAGAUUUCCGGAGAACCUACUGGAAUAACUCCCACUGAAUUCAGUGUGUACAAGAUCAGACUUGCUGGGCUGUUUGUUCCAGGGCAUAGAAUACUUCUGCUUCUUCUGAGAUUUGCUGGGACUGUUCGGAUUCUGCAGGAGUUUGAAUGAAGAAAAAAAAAAAAAAAUAGCACAGAUGAAUUGCUGCAUUAAUUUAAAAGAAAAAAGUCAUGACGUCAAUAUGCAACCAAAAAUGUAUUCUUACAGGAAUCUAGUGCUUGAUUGCUCUGCCCAUACCUCAGCUGAUGACAUCAAUGGCUCUGCAGACAUAUCCUGUCUCUUCUUUCAUCUCCUUGGUGCUAGCCUGGUUGCUUCUACAAAGUACAAACUUCUUAAGACUGCUUUACAGAGAAGGCAGGAAACAAGAGAGUAAUAACACUGGAAAUGGCCUAUUGUUUCUUCUCUGGCAAACUCCCUCGGGACAGCAGUUCUGGGAAUCAGCUCUCUAUGUGAAGUUGUUGUGAGAUGUAUUGGUGGCAUAUGCCAUGGUGAAUUCGCCAGGCACAGAGGGAGUCCGUUGGGGAAAAGAGCAAAGAAGCACACUAAGCUGUCUCCAGAAGCAAACCUUCAGAAAUGCUCUGCAAAGGUGCCUGAAACUUAAAAUUUUUCCUUUGGUAAAGAUGAAAGGCAGGACUUCUGACCCUUACUUCUGACUAGGAUGGAAACUUGGGCUUCUGUACUUCAUAUAAGUACAUUUUAUGAUAGACAAGAGAAAAUGAAGAUCCUUGAGGGAAGGCUAAGAAAAUUCCUCUUCCUUCCAAAACUGUCUUGCAGGAUCAGUGGAAAAUUUCUGUUCAGAACAAGAUCCUUGGCAAGGAUACACCACCGCCAGGUGAGAAGCAGAUGCCCUCAAGGUCAGGCAAAGCAUUUCGACAUUCUUCUUCCUGUUUGCUCCAGGUAUAUCUCAACAAAUAAAACUGAGAACCAUCUUGCCUGUCAUCCUGAACUGCACAUGCUGGUGAUUUCCAAGCAAGAAGAUGCAUACAUAACAGACUCCACAUUCCCAUGGAUCAGAUACCAUUAUGCUGCCUCUUGCAAUAUCUGCAGUCUGCUGCCACAUCUCAGAGCUGCCAGGAUCUGACCUGGACCUGCUGCUCUCUCCAGAUUAUCUGCUUGUCUCUAACUCCACCAGGCAUGGAGUGCUGUUUGGAAACAAUCGGAAAGUAAGAAUAAGAACGAUCUUUCUACUCCGGAAGCUGUGUGG
Long non-coding RNA from Lagopus leucura (white-tailed ptarmigan), 1282 nucleotides. RefSeq lists it as uncharacterized. Lineage: Eukaryota; Metazoa; Chordata; Aves; Galliformes; Phasianidae. The transcript has 5 exons. The record is from RefSeq and is a predicted model, not a curated record.